GAUUUGGGGACUGCUGUGCUUUUUAUCAGUCGGCUUUCCCUUUCUUUUAUUAUUGUUCAAGGUCUAUAUGAUUUUCACAAUCUCAUAAAUGUUGAAUGUAUGUUAAAAACAAAAGAAAUAUAUACAACUUUCACCAACGGAUCUCUUGGCUCUCGCAUCGAUGAAGAACGCAGCGAAAUGCGAUAAGUAAUGUGAAUUGCAGAAUUCAGUGAAUCAUCGAAUCUUUGAACGCAUCUUGCGCUCCUUGGUAUUCCAAGGAGCAUGCCUGUUUGAGUGUCAUCAAGUUCUCAACCACAUAUCUUUUGUGGCUUGGAUUAUGGGGGUGUUGCCGGCUUUUAUACAAGUAGGCUCUCCUUAAAUGCAUAAGUGGUAUUUAUAAAAGCUACUUGUGAGGUGUUAUAAAUUGAUAAAUACACCUUGUUUGGCGAUUCUACUAUACUGCUUCCAACCCUUUUUGUGUGGAUGAUUUUGACCUCAAAUCACGUAGGACUACCCGCUGAACUUAACAUAUCAAU
RNAcentral lists this ribosomal RNA (515 nucleotides) under Inocybe sp. DL-2015. RNAcentral's name for it is "eukaryotic LSU rRNA". The stretch from base 126 to 279 matches the Rfam family "5.8S ribosomal RNA". Lineage: Eukaryota; Fungi; Basidiomycota; Agaricomycetes; Agaricales; Inocybaceae. The record is from RNAcentral.